This 450-nucleotide ribosomal RNA is filed under the name uncultured bacterium. Its description in RNAcentral is "partial 16S ribosomal RNA". It matches the Rfam family "Bacterial small subunit ribosomal RNA", at positions 354 to 796 of the family's 1533-position model. The record is from RNAcentral.
GUGGGGAAUAUUGGACAAUGGGCGAAAGCCUGAUCCAGCCAUGCCGCGUGUGUGAAGAAGGUCUUCGGAUUGUAAAGCACUUUAAGUUGGGAGGAAGGGCAUUAACCUAAUACGUUAGUGUUUUGACGUUACCGACAGAAUAAGCACCGGCUAACUUCGUGCCAGCAGCCGCGGUAAUACGAAGGGUGCAAGCGUUAAUCGGAAUUACUGGGCGUAAAGCGCGCGUAGGUGGUUCGUUAAGUUGGAUGUGAAAGCCACGGGCUCAACCUGGGAACUGCAUCCAAAACUGGCGAGCUAGAGUACGUUAGAGGGUGGUGGAAUUUCCUGUGUAGCGGUGAAAGGCGUAGAUAUAGGAAGGAACACCAGUGGCGAAGGCGACCACCUGGACUGAUACUGACACUAAGGUGCGAAAGCGUGGUGAGCAAACAGGAUUAGAUACCCUUGUAGUCC